ACCAGCAACGGAAAAGGAUCGAUCCACGUCUCAGCCUCCGCUUAGUUCUCGGUGCCUCUAAUAGAGUCUGGUCCACGGACCUGAGACACCGGGCAGAUGCGUCUGGGCGGUGGUGCUCAGAGAGGUAAGAUGGGGUCAGGCCAUUUAGAUUUGAAAACAAAUACAGGUAAUAAGGUUUUAAAAAUAAGUCAAAAAUUAAGAGGCCAUGAAGGGAUGUCAGAGCAGGAUUUAUGUGCUCCCUCUUACGAGUACCAGUCAAGAGGUGAGCAUCAGCAUUAUGGACCAACUGGAGACGCUGAAUGGAGGAUUGGCUGACUCCAAAGUAAAGUGCAUGACAGUAAUCCAGCCGAGACGUGACAAAGGCAUGAAUUACAAAGUGUGCUUGAGAAAGGAGACGCUUUACUUGAGGCAACUGCCGAAGGUGAAAGGAGCUGGAUUUAACAGCGGCACCAAUUUGACGGUCCAGUUUAAAAUCACUGUCGAGUUUAAGACCCAAGUUUUAAAACCUGGAUAGAUAGACAGAUCUCAAGCACACGUAGGGCCAAUUUUAGAGUGUUCAAUCAGCCUGCCAUGCACGGUUGGAAUGUGGGAGGAAACCAGAGUACCCAAAGAAACCCCAUGCCCGGGGAGAACAUGAAAACUCCACACAGGGAGGCCGGAGCAGGAAUUGAACCUGUGAGAUUGACGCGCUAACCACUGGACCAUCAGGAUGCCCUUGGCUUUUAACAAUCCUUCAAAAAUGUCCAAGGCAAACAUCAGCAUAGCGAGCGAUCGCCCAAAUGGUGAGCACUUUUUCUGGGUCACAUUUACGUAAAACUAUCAGAAGGCCUUGUGGCUCGAGGAGCGAAUGACAAAGACGCUGCAGAGACACAUAACUAUCUACACACAUAGAUAGAUAUGGUAAAAGCCCCUCUUAGCCUAUGAGAUGCCAAGAUGAUGCUCAGGAAUCGUCAAUGGAAAAGCAACUAUAAGGAUGUUCCAUUCAGGAAACCCUGAGCUGCGACCAGCAGCCAUACUGUAUUUUUACCUUUUGUAACUUGAAAUGUCUUUUGUAACUAGAGGCAAUAUUUUCCUGUUGAGGCGUUUGGUAACUUUAAAAUUUCGGAUGAAGAGACAUUCAUAAGUAGAGGUGCCACUGUAAAUUAUCCCUAGGUGUGAGUGAGUGUGAAUGGUUGUUCAUUGAUUGACUAUCUCUGCACGAAGACAGCUGGGAUGGGCUCCAGCACGCCCGCAAUCCGCGUGAGGAUAACCAGAUAAGACAAUGGAUGGUUGUUUUAUUUUCUACCCAUACAUAGCGGGCACAACAUGUUGAAAAAAUAUUGCUAAUGGCACAUGCAGUGCAGAAUGCUAAAGAUCCGCAAUAAAUUCAU
Long non-coding RNA from Hippocampus zosterae (dwarf seahorse), 1370 nucleotides. RefSeq lists it as uncharacterized. The transcript has 3 exons. The record is from RefSeq and is a predicted model, not a curated record. Lineage: Eukaryota; Metazoa; Chordata; Actinopteri; Syngnathiformes; Syngnathidae.